Molecule: long non-coding RNA, 1983 nt
Filed under: Homo sapiens (human)
Lineage: Eukaryota; Metazoa; Chordata; Mammalia; Primates; Hominidae
Description: HSALNT0021572
Source: RNAcentral
UGAGGCUCUCUUCAGAUGAAGCUGGAGGAAGUAGUGCGAGAUAAUACAGGACUGGAGACAAUCAGGGAGAAGAAGAAUGAGGUGGAGGGCUUGUGGUCGGGGGGACCUCAGCAAAGGUUGGCUUCUCAAUCUGUGUAACAUUCCUGACCACCUUGCACUGGGGACCAAGUAAGAGUCGCCAAACCACUAAUCUGCCACAUUCUCCUCUGGGAAGAGCUGAGAAGAAGUGAAGAAUCCUGCCAAGCAAGAGCAGUAUGUGCAUAAGAGAACGAGGCCCUAGCCCAACAUGCCCUUCCUCCGACAUCCAUCCAAGGCACACCUCACAGGUCACCUGCCAUGUUCAUUCUGGAGAAAACACAGCUUGGUGAGUGAUUUAUGCUGGGAUCUGACAGAGAUCCUAGGCCAGGCUACCCUAGACAGGGUGGCUCAUCAAGAGAAGGCUGAGGGGGAGAGAGUUCCCUGCUAGGGUCCUAGGGGAGAAGUGUGGCAGUGGCCAACCCCCAGGUUCUCGGCAAGGGUUGGGUGGUUGUUUUCAGAUGGUCCUAUUGUUGUCUAACUUCAGGCAAGACCCUUGACCUUUCUGAGCCCUGCUUUCAUUCUCUGUGAAAUGGGAAUGAGAACACCUACCUUACAGGACUGUUAAAGGCCUGGUACGUGUGGAUCUUCAAUUGUUAUAGAUUGAAUUCUGUCUCUCCCAAAUUCAUAUGAUGAAGUCCUAAUCCCCGGUACCUUUAAUGUGACCUUAUUUGGAAAUAGAGUCAUUACAGAUAUAAUUAGUUAAGAUGAGGUCACAUUGGAGGGUAGGCCCCUAAUCCAAUGUGAUCCAUAUCCUUAUAAAAAUGGGAAAAUUGGAGACAGAUACACAGGGAGGGUGCCAUGUGAAGAUGAAAGCAGAGAUUGAAGUGAUGUGACUACAAGCCAAGGAAUGCCAAAGAUCGCCAGCAAACCAGAAGCUUGGGGAGAGGCCUGGAACAGAUUCCGCCUUAGCCCCAAGAAGGAACUCAUGCUGCUGACACCAUGAUCAUGGACUUCCAGCCUCCAGAACUGUGAGAUAAUAAGUAUCUGUUGUUUGAACCUCCCAGUUUGUGGUACUUUGUUAUGGCAGCUCUAGCAAACGCAUACACCAUUGUCAUCUUUGAUAACCCUGUGACUCCUCCUCUCCCUCUCUUCCUGGUGCCUUCCUCCAAGGGUAUCCUGCAGGCAACUGGAGCAGCUGCUUGGAGGGAUGCACAAAAGAAAUGCCAAAACCACAGUGAGGUCCCGUCUCACACCAGUUACAAUAUCUAUUGUUACAAAGUCAAAAAAUAACCAUUCUGGUGAGGUUGUGGAGAAAAAGGAAUGCUUUCACACUCUUGGUGGGAGUGUAGAUUAGUUCAGUCAUUGUGGAAGAUAGUGUGGCAAUUCCUCAAAGACCUAAAGACAGAAAUACCAUUCGAUCCAGUGAUCCCAUGACUGAGCAUACACCCAAGGAAUAUAAAUCAUUCUGUUAUAAAGAUACAUGCAUGUGUAUGUUUAUUGCAACACUAUUCUCAAUAGCCAAUACAUGGAAUCAACCUAAAUGUCCAUCAGUGGUAGACUGGAUAAAGAAAAUGUGGUAUAUAUACACUAUGAAAUACUAUGCAGCCGCAAAAAGGAACAAGAUCAUGUCCUUUGCAGCAGCCUGGAUGGAGCUGGAGGCCAUUAUCCUCAGCAAACUGACGCAGGAGCAGAAAACCAAACGCUGUAUGUUCUCACUUAUAAGUGGGAGCUAAAUGAUGCGAACACAUGGACACAGCGAGGAGAACAACACAACAAUAGGGCCUACUGGAGAAUGGAGGGCGGGAGGAGGGAGAGGAUCAGGAAAAAUAACUAAUGGAUACUAGGCUUAAUACCUGGGCGAUGAAAUAAUCUGUAUAACAAACCCCCAUGAUAUACAUGUUUACCUGUGUAACAAACCUGCACAUCCUGCACAUGUACCCCUGAACUUAAAAUAAAAGUUAAAAA